RNAcentral lists this ribosomal RNA (469 nucleotides) under uncultured bacterium. RNAcentral describes it as "partial 16S ribosomal RNA". It matches the Rfam family "Bacterial small subunit ribosomal RNA", at positions 28 to 507 of the family's 1533-position model. The record is from RNAcentral.
GACGAACGCUGGCGGCGUGCUUAACACAUGCAAGUCGAACGGAAAGGCCCUGCUUGCAGGGUGCUCGAGUGGCGAACGGGUGAGUAACACGUGGGUGAUCUGCCCCUUACUUUGGGAUAAGCCUGGGAAACUGGGUCUAAUACUGGAUAGGACCAUGCUGUAGGUGGUGUGGUGGAAAGAUUGGUUUCGGUAAGGGAUGAGCUCGCGGCCUAUCAGCUUGUUGGUGGGGUAAUGGCCUACCAAGGCGUCGACGGGUAGCCGGCCUGAGAGGGUGGACGGCCACAUUGGGACUGAGAUACGGCCCAGACUCCUACGGGAGGCAGCAGUGGGGAAUAUUGCACAAUGGGCGCAAGCCUGAUGCAGCGACGCCGCGUGGGGGAUGACGGCCUUCGGGUUGUAAACUCCUUUCAGCCAUGACGAAGCCCUUGUGGUGACGGUAGUGGUAGAAGAAGCACCGGCUAACUACGUG